Mesoplodon densirostris (Blainville's beaked whale) is the source of this 106-nucleotide small nuclear RNA. The record is from RefSeq and is a predicted model, not a curated record. Lineage: Eukaryota; Metazoa; Chordata; Mammalia; Artiodactyla; Ziphiidae.
GUGCUCGCUUCGGCAGCACAGAUACUAAAGUUGGAACGAUACAGAGAAGAUUAACAUGGCCCUGCACAAGGAUGACAUGCAUAUUCGUGAAGUGUUCCAUAUCUCU